This 65-nucleotide transfer RNA is filed under the name Fragaria iinumae. RNAcentral describes it as "tRNA-Pro". It matches the Rfam family "tRNA". Rfam says of the family: Transfer RNA (tRNA) molecules are approximately 80 nucleotides in length. Their secondary structure includes four short double-helical elements and three loops (D, anti-codon, and T loops). The record is from RNAcentral. Lineage: Eukaryota; Viridiplantae; Streptophyta; Magnoliopsida; Rosales; Rosaceae.
AGGGAUGUAGCGCAGCUUGGUAGCGCCGGUACAAAAUGUCACGGGUCCCAAUCCUGUCAUUCCUA